GGUGUGUGUGCUGCAGCUGGUGUUGUGAAUCAGGCCGAUGUCACACGUCCGCGAUAACCCGGCUAUUUCACAACACCAGGGUGGCACCACACC
Sinocyclocheilus grahami is the source of this 93-nucleotide microRNA precursor. The record is from Ensembl. Lineage: Eukaryota; Metazoa; Chordata; Actinopteri; Cypriniformes; Cyprinidae.